UACGUAGGGUGCGAGCGUUAAUCGGAAUUACUGGGCGUAAAGCGUGCGCAGGCGGUUCGUUGUGUCUGAUGUGAAAGCCCCGGGCUUAACCUGGGAAUGGCAUUGGAAACUGGCGAGCUGGAGUGCGGCAGAGGGGGGUGGAAUUCCACGUGUAGCAGUGAAAUGCGUAGAUAUGUGGAGGAACACCGAUGGCGAAGGCAGCCCCCUGGGCCGACACUGACGCUCAGGCACGAAAGCGUGGGGAGCAAACAGG
RNAcentral lists this ribosomal RNA (253 nucleotides) under uncultured bacterium. RNAcentral describes it as "partial 16S ribosomal RNA". It matches the Rfam family "Bacterial small subunit ribosomal RNA", at positions 524 to 776 of the family's 1533-position model. The record is from RNAcentral.